UAACGCGUUAAGCGAUCCGCCUGGGUAGUACGGCCGCAAGGCUAAAACUCAAAGGAAUAGACGGGGACUUGCACAAGCAGAGGAUUAUGUGGUUUAAUUCGAUGGUAAACGAAAAACCUUACCAAGAUUAGAAAUGCAUUCGAAUCCCAGAGGAAACUUUGGGAGCCGCAAGGCGGAUGCACAGGUGAUGCAUGGCCGUCGUCAGUUCGUGAUUUGAGUUGUUCCCUUCAGUGGGGUAACGAACGCAACCCUCGUUGCCUGUUAUAUUUGUCAGGCGAGACUGCCCCUUUUCAGGGGAGGAAGGUGAGGAUGACGCCAGGUCAGCAUGUCCCUCUGAUAUCUUGGGCUACACACAUAAUACAAUCGUCGGUACAACGGGUCGCAAUGGAGUAAUCCGGAGCUAAUCCUUAUAAAGCCGGCGUCAGUUCAGAUUGGGGGCUGAAACUCGACCCCAUGAAGUUGGAUUUGCUAGUAAUCGCGGGUCAGCUAUACCGCGGUGAAUACGUUCUCAAGUCUUGUACUCACCGCCCGUCAACUCAAGGGAGUUGGGAGUACCCGAAGACCUACCUCGCGUGGGUUUAAGGUAAGCUCAAUGACAGGGAGUAAGUCGUAACAAGGCACGGGUAGCGGAAGCUGC
Molecule: ribosomal RNA, 637 nt
Filed under: Candidatus Zambryskibacteria bacterium RIFCSPHIGHO2_12_FULL_43_12b
Lineage: Bacteria; Candidatus Zambryskiibacteriota
Description: bacterial SSU rRNA
Rfam family: Bacterial small subunit ribosomal RNA
Source: RNAcentral